AAAACCCUGUAAAAUAACUAACUAGCACAAAUGGUUACAGGAUGCUGAUCUAUGCCCAGUGGCCAAUGUGAGGUGCAAUCACAGAUCAGGUUGGGGAUAAACAGUUUAUGUCAGUGAGGCUGCUUUGGGUGUCUGGGAAAUAGACCAAGCUGACAGAGGGCAGAGGACUCUAUGGAAGGAAGGCCCUGGGGAUCUAGAGUCAGGAAAAUCAAGAAUGAAAGCAUAAAUGACAGAAAAGAAAAAGCACCUCCCAUCCUCCUGUCAAUGGUAGAUGGCAGACUGGGUCAUGCAUUUCUCUGUUCUCCCCUCCCAUUCCCUCCCUGUCUCCCUCCCCUGUCCCCAGUAACAACCUCUCCAAACAGUAUCAGGACUUGAGUCAUCAAAACCAUCUUUGUGGAUCUUGUACUUACAGUCCUCUCUCUUUGAUUUAAAAAGAGAUAUUGCCCCCACUUCCUAUGACCUGCCGUUUCUUGGUGACAUGCUCUCCUAGCACAGCUCCCAGGAUUCUGUCCAUAGUGGUGCCAGGAAGUGGGCACACUUUGGCCUUUCUGGAUGUGACAAGACACCGUCUUUACCGGGAAAGCAAGCCAGUUGUGGGGGAAGAAGUUGACUAUUCAGGCAGGAAAAUGUUGGUAUUAUAAAAACAUGGAUUGGA
RNAcentral lists this long non-coding RNA (655 nucleotides) under Homo sapiens (human). RNAcentral describes it as "HSALNT0140768". Lineage: Eukaryota; Metazoa; Chordata; Mammalia; Primates; Hominidae. The record is from RNAcentral.